This is a long non-coding RNA of Odocoileus virginianus texanus, 547 nucleotides long. RefSeq lists it as uncharacterized. The record is from RefSeq and is a predicted model, not a curated record. NCBI's taxonomy places the organism in Eukaryota, Metazoa, Chordata, Mammalia, Artiodactyla, Cervidae.
AGGACAGCACAGUGGGGAGGGAGACCUCAGAGCAGGGACAGGUGACAACUGAAUGCCUCACCCCAGCACUGGCUGUAUUUUUUUUUCAGGCUUUGCUGGGAGAUCCCUGCUGUGCCAGGCAUGAACCGACUAGCUGCCAGAUCAUGAGAAGAGAUAGAAAACGGAGGUUCCCAGACAGGGGAGUCCCCCUGCUUCUCAACAAUGCGGUGGCCUACUCCCCACCCACACAGAGGGGAACCAUCUCCAGUGAGAACGUCUUCCAGGUCCAGCCCACCUCUUCCCUCAAAGGCAGGCCUGGGAGCUGCACUCACUCCAGCUGUCUGGCAUGACUUUCAAGGCCAAGGGCACCAGAUCAUCAAAGGAGGCAUCCAGGAUCACGGCACUAAUGUCCGGGUAGGACAUGGCUGCCCACGUAGCUGGUACCAGGAAAGGAAAGAAAAGAGAUGGCCUGAGUGCGCCUACAGUAGCAGGGUAAGAAGAAGGUGGGUACCAGUGAAGCCGCCGAUGGACCAGGCAUAGAGGAUGAUAUCCUGGGGCUGAAAGCCCA